UAAUUGAAGAGUUUGAUCAUGGCUCAGAUUGAACGCUGGCGGCAGGCCUAACACAUGCAAGUCGAGCGGUAACAGGGGAAGCUUGCUUCUCGCUGACGAGCGGCGGACGGGUGAGUAAUGUAUGGGGAUCUGCCCGAUAGAGGGGGAUAACUACUGGAAACGGUGGC
RNAcentral lists this ribosomal RNA (167 nucleotides) under Providencia stuartii. RNAcentral's name for it is "partial 16S ribosomal RNA". It matches the Rfam family "Bacterial small subunit ribosomal RNA", at positions 1 to 163 of the family's 1533-position model. The record is from RNAcentral. Lineage: Bacteria; Pseudomonadati; Pseudomonadota; Gammaproteobacteria; Enterobacterales; Morganellaceae.